UGGGGAAUAUUGCACAAUGGGCGCAAGCCUGAUGCAGCGACGCCGCGUGAGGGAUGACGGCCUUCGGGUUGUAAACCUCUUUCAGCAGGGGAGAAGCCUCUUUGGGGGUGACGGUACCUGCAGAAGAAGCACCGGCUAACUACGUGCCAGCAGCCGCGGUAAUACGUAGGGUGCGAGCGUUGUCCGGAAUUAUUGGGCGUAAAGAGCUUGUAGGCGGUUUGUCGCGUCUGCUGUGAAAAUCCGGGGCUCAACCCCGGACUUGCAGUGGGUACGGGCAGACUAGAGUGUGGUAGGGGAGACUGGAAUUCCUGGUGUAGCGGUGGAAUGCGCAGAUAUCAGGAGGAACACCGAUGGCGAAGGCAGGUCUCUGGGCCAUUACUGACGCUGAGAAGCGAAAGCAUGGGGAGCAAACAGGAUUAGAUACCCUGGUAGUCCAUGCCGUAAACGGUGGGAACUAGGUGUGGGUCUCAUUCCACGAGAUCCGUGCCGCAGCUAACGCAUUAAGUUCCCCGCCUGGGGAGUACGGCCGCAAGGCUA
This 537-nucleotide ribosomal RNA is filed under the name uncultured bacterium. RNAcentral's name for it is "bacterial SSU rRNA". It matches the Rfam family "Bacterial small subunit ribosomal RNA", at positions 355 to 896 of the family's 1533-position model. The record is from RNAcentral.